Long non-coding RNA from Numida meleagris (helmeted guineafowl), 5490 nucleotides. RefSeq lists it as uncharacterized. The record is from RefSeq and is a predicted model, not a curated record. NCBI's taxonomy places the organism in Eukaryota, Metazoa, Chordata, Aves, Galliformes, Numididae. The transcript is spliced from 2 exons.
CAAGUCCAGACAAGUCCUGGUCAAAGCUGGAAAAAUCUUUUGUCUGAAGAUUUGCAGGCCAGGGGCAAGGAGAGAUAAGUAGCAGCUUAAGGGCCGGGAAGUGGUCUUUUGUGUGGGCUCAUCUCGAGGGAGAUAGCCAUCUCAGGGUGCUGCACAUGACUCUUACCAAAGUACCCAGGAAUGUCACAGUGGCAGAAGAAGGUUAAAAAUGGGACCUACAACCAAGAGAGUGAUACAACAUGGAAGAAUGGAAAUAUUCUCUGCAGAUAAUUUAAAGCACUGCAUGUUUUGGACUGUAACUAAUGAGGCACAAUCAUCAGAAAAGGUUUGCUUCAAAUGGACGGCCAGAUGUUCAAGUGCUUCUCUAAAGCUUGUCCAAAAAUCUGAUCUGGGAGAGAGGGCUUUGUGUUCUGUUUUUGUUUUCUUUUGGAUGUGUGUUUUUGUUUCUACAGUUUUGGUGCCAUUUUGCAAUACGUGUGUAUUAUAUUUGCUCAGUUGAUGUGAGAAUGGAUUGGAAAUGACUUUUAGCUCUUAUUUUAAGGCCAUUUCCACAAAGAAUCUAGAACCAAUGGAAAACUUAUAAAAUAUUGAAUGGAAAUUUUUCCCCAAAUUUAUAUUUCAGAACUUUCACAAGCUUUUCAGGAAUUCUGUCAUAAAUGCAAACAUGCUUAACCAUUUCCAUUUUUAAAGUAAUUAUUAUUUUUCAUUUCAAUAGCACAUAAAAGGUACAAAAGAUCAUGUUAUUUUGUUAUCCGUGAUUAAUUAAUCUAAUUAAAACUGAGAAUACAAGGAGGGCACAGUUAUAGAAAGAAAGAACAAAGGAAAAUAUGAAUAAAUUAUUAACGUAGUAUCAAAUCUGAAUUUCUAUGCUAUGGAAAAUCUCAGAACCCAGGAUAGAGGCUAUAGUAUUAAUUUUUGUUGUGGAACAACAAAAAAGAAGAAGAAGAAACUUGACUUGAUAACACUGAAACAUUUUGGAGUGACUUUUUCAACUAAAAUUAUAUGUUUCCAGCAUUAUUGAAACAAACUGCUUUGUUUCAGCAUGUUGAAUCAAAUAGAAAUGUUUGAAUUCUAUAUUAAGGAGCAUUUUCUUAGGAUGGUAAAGAGACUCUGGAGUUCCGUGAGGUUAAAAUGGUAAUAAAAAUUUUGUUUGCUGUUACACCACGCAACUGAAACAUAGAUUUUGAGAUAACAGUCUGAAUAUUUAUAGAAGGCCCCUGUUGUCUAACAGGGGUAGGAUAAGAAAUCAUAGGCCAUGUAGUAAUACACACUGAAGGCAGACAGGAGUGAAUGUCUUCCUGAAGUUCCCUUCACGAUAUCCUUUACUUGCUAUUAAUUCUAGUUUGUUCCCUUUGCAAAAGGCAAUAAUAAAAUCUUUUGAAGUUUUUGUUGAAGAAGGAAAUAAAAAUGAAUGGUAUAGAUAACAUGCAAAGAAAAGCAUUAGAAGUUUUUAACAUUAUCUCUAUUUCCCUCUGAAAUGUCAAGACAUUUAAAAAGAACUUCUGUUAUUUUAUAGAUUUUAAAUAGGAAAAACAAACAACAACAACAACAAAACCAAACAAAACCAAAACAAACAACAACGAAACACUAUGACCAAACCCUCAGACUCCCAUCUCUCUAAAUGUCUUUGCUCCUCAUGGACUUCUUCAAACAGGUCUGAAGCAUGGAGAUCCUUUCAGUCUCGUAGAAGGCGCAGUUAAGAUCAGGGUUCUAGAUGCUCAGCAGAACUGCUCAUGGUGGACUUUGGUGAUUGAGGUCGUACAUGUACGAUCCAGCUGACUACAAGCUUUGAAGCAACCUGAAGGGUGACCAAAGCAGUAUAAAUUCUCAAGACCUCAUCCAGAGAACUAUGGGCUCCGCACACAAGCUUUUAAAAAGACUUAAAGAUCUGAUACAUCUGUAUUAAUUUGGGGUUUAUAGGUCAUGGCUAACGUGUCAAGCUCAUAGAACUGUGGCAGCAAAUGCACUCCUGGGUGCUACUUUGAAGGCAAAAGAAGGAAAGAAAAUUCUUAUCCUUCCCUGAGAAUGAUUUCUCAGGGAAAAUAAAAAACCUCAGAAUAGUCACGAUGACGAGAGGAUUUCUCAUCUGAAGAGAAAUUAGCCAAAGUUUAUAGUGAUGGCAACUUCACAGAGUAUUCUUUGAUCUGUUUUGAUUCUGAGGUCUUGAAAUGGUGAAACUGGAGAUGUGGUAUGAUAUGUUACAUACUCCAGUCUGGGGAAAUCAGUGUUUUCACACUUACGUUAAACCUAUCUGUUUAAGCAGUCCAAGAGCCUACUACAUAUUCUAUCAGAUGAAUAGAGGAGAGCUAAGGUCUCCAGUGCCUUAAUUCACACAGAAUUAUCUGGAGACUUUUGCAUAUGUAUUGAGAUAGAUAUCUUUUGUAUUUAUAACAGAAUAUCUGCUAGAAUAUCCAUGAUAUUCCUAUCACCUUGGACAACCUGAAGCUAUAUUUCCUGUACACAGGAAAAAAACAGGUGGAUGUCUGACAUUCCUAUACCCUCAUUGCUUAUAAGGUCAUGCCUUUUCUGAGGUACUACGGCACCAGAAGUUACCCUAAAACAAACUAUUUCCUUUUAGUGAAGCAUGAAAGAAAUUUCACCAGAAGAGGUUCUGGAAUACUUAACCUUAAUGACUCAAAAAAGAUCAGACAUGAGAGCUGUAGCAGGAUUUCUACUGCAACUCUCAAGCCUUAAACAAUUAUAUGAACCUUUAAAAUAGGAUCUUCUCUCAGAAAAACAACAACAACAACAAAACCGCAUUCUAAAAGUGGGGAUACAUCCUAUAUUUGAACUUGAUCUCCUGCCUCUCAAGUAAGAAAAAAGGAAGAAUGUAUCAACAUUAUAAAAACUGGGAUUUGCACACAGCAUUAACUGCCUAUUCCUAGAUGAGUCUGUGGAAAUCAUGUUUUAUUCCAGAAAUCCAAUGUUAUAAAAAUGGACUUAGUCAGAAAAUUCUCAAUGUAUGAAUGACACACUUUCUAAAGAAGAAAAAAUGAGAAUGUAUGCUUGCUUGCUUCCUGCCUUUCCUUCUUCCUUCCUUCCUUCCUUUCUUUCUUUCUUUCUUUUUUAAAGAGUUUGCUGAACACUAUGCCACUGGGAGUGUCCUUCCACUGGGGAACCUAGAAAAUGUUCACAAAUGAAUAGAUAUUAAAAAAGCAAAGAAACUUCAAUGCAUCAGAAUAUAGCAAAUAUUUGAACAGUGAAGUGAAUUAAAUGCCAGAUGGAGAAUUUAUGACAGUGUAAAAGAUCCCCUGUAGAAACCAGUAAUAUUUUAUCAUCCAGAAAAAGCAUGGUCUGGCUUUCUAUCCACUAAUAAAAGCCCAGGUUGACCUUCCAGUUUAUUUAUAUGUGUUUUUUCUAGAACAUCUGGUUACUUCUAUAUGAGCAGGAAGCAAAAUCAGACUCAUAAAGUUGUUAACACUCAUCAUUAAGAUCUACUGCAGAGUUCAAGUGACGUAAAGUAAAUUAAUUAAUAUGCUAUAUUUUCUGGUGCACCACAUUCUGAUACAUGAGGUAAACUUUUAUGCCUGCUGUUAUGAGCAGAUUUCUGUUGGUAACAUGAUCUCAGAUAGAAGUAUGUAGAGUGAAAUCAGGUAUUAGCUAAGGUAAACUCUUAGUUUCCUCUGCCAGACCCAGGAAAACAGGAAGGAGAAUGAAUCCUACCUACGUAUGACUUGCACAAAUGGGGUCUAGCUCUAUUUUACCCCACUUUAGACAAAAAGCAACAAAUGCUUUCAAAGAAUCUAAGUAAAUGGAAACAAACAAACAGAACACACAAACAAACAAACAAAAAAAGACAAAAUGCCAGUCAAAACAAAACAACAACAACAACAAAACGAACAAAAACAACAGAAAAUCUUAAUCCCAGCAGGAAAUUUUGCCUCUUCUACUUAAGUGUUUGUGAGCAUAGAUACAAAGUCUAGCACGUGUCUCUCGCAGAAUCAUAUCCAGUGUUGUAAAACGUUUCUUUCAUAUAUACAAUUCAGUUGAACAAGUGACCUGCCAUCCUUCAGACUGGCAAAGGAAUAAAAAUGAUGUAUGUUUUCAUUUAUUUUCCUUUCCCAGUUUGGCAUUGAAUUCAGCCCUGGAUUCCUUUCCCAAAAUAAUCCAUGCAUCUUUGAAGAAAAAAAGGGAAACUCAGGUGUCUACUGUCUUUCAAGCAUAAUUUUAGAGUACUCUGCUUGGCCUUUGGCUGCUGCUUCAAAAGCCAGCAGACCAGCAGAUCCUGUGUUGUUUGCUGACCUCCUGAGGAUGUCUUGGACGACCUUGUAUGUCUAGAAUAUAUCAGAUGUUUGCCACUCCUGAGAUCUCUCUGAAUGUGUCUAAUAAGAGAAGUUACUCAAACCAUUUAGGCUUCUUCUUUCCUCAGUUACCCAACAUGGAACUGAGGAUAAUUUCCUGAGAUUUUCUCUGUACAAAAUCAAAAAUAUAUUGUUUUCGAUUAUUAUUGCUCAACAGAAAAAAAACAAAUUUAUUGUAUUCUAUUUUACAUACAACUUCUAAGAAUUGAUUAUAGAUCUUUUUCUCUCUGUUUUGCUUGUUUGCUUUCCUACUGUUUGCUGAUGGAUGAAGUUCUAUUUAGGGUCUGAUUUUAUGAGAAUUUGUACUUUUUAAUACAAAGGCUAAGUAUGGUCUACUGGCUUCUGUGUGACUGCAGAGCUCUGAUGGCACACAGUAAAUAGUAGUUUCUUAUCAUUUCUGAUCUAUCACGAGGUGGAAAAUUGCAGGUUUUUAGUUAUUUGGUAAUGCAUUAGCUGUUUCCACAGUUCCAGCUGGAAUGGGUAAAAUGAGUGCAUAAAAGCUGUCACAUAGUCAUUUUGGAUAACAAAGCGAAACAGAAAUAUUUUUGUGUGAAAAUGAGGCAGCCAUACUGGAGAAUAUGAGCAAAAUGGAGGGAACUGAACACAAGACUCUCAUCCUUAAUCACUCGCUAGAGUUAGCAAAGUGGCAAUUAUUUGCAACAGGAAGCAAAACUGCAUAAUCAACAAAGUUGGACACAUUUCAGUGAAAAUCAAAGCAAAAGCCAAUUUCUGAAAACACUGUGCAAGUCCAUAAAGUCUGUAUAUAUAUUACGUAGUUUAGAAAAAUACAUGUGUUUGGAUUUGUCAUGGGUUCAAAAUAAAGUACAGUUGGUGGUUUUUGUAUAUUUUACAAGUACUUUAUUGUCUAAUGAAAAUUGGAGCAUAAUGUUACUUUAUUCUAAGCCUGUCCCAGCUCAGUAUGUGUGUGUAAUGCUUCAGGACAAUCUAGUACAUUCACUGGUGUCUGCCCACUGCUGUAGCCAAAGGUCUCACUACAUAUUGAAGGGAUCAUGAUACAUAGGAGACCUUGCUGCACAGACCUUCUGCCAAGGAAAUUUAUUUGGGGAAAACUAUGCAAAAUUUUUGAAACUCUCAGAGUAAAAUCUAGCUGGCAGUUUUUGUAACUCAUUAGGAGAACAUUUAAAAGGCUGUAUCAGUAAGAACUGAAUAAAAGACCAGUCUUUCUUGA